AAAAAAAACUUCUAAGCUUCAGAUUAUUGCUACCCGUACCGCAAACCGACACAGGUAGUCAAGUAGAAUAUACUAAGGCGCUCGAGUGAAUCAUGGCUAAGGAACUCGGCAAAUUAACCCUGUAACUUCGGGAAAAAGGGUGCCCAUAGCAAUAUGGGCCGCAGUGAAAUAGCGGUGGCGACUGUUUAUCAAAAACACAUGGCUUUGCAAAAUCGAAAGAUGAAGUAUAAGGCCUGACACCUGCCCAAUGCUGGAAGGUUAAGAGGAGAGGUUAGUAGUAAUACAAAGCUUUGAAUCGAAGCCCCAGUGAAUGGCGGCCGUAACGAUAACGGUCCUAAGGUAGCGAAAUUCCUUGUCGGGUAAGUUCCGACCUGCACGAAUGGUGUAACGAUCUCCGCUCUGUCUCAGCCAUGAGCUCGGUGAAAUUGUAGUAUCGGUGAAGAUGCCGAUUACCCGCAACGGGACGGAAAGACCCCGUGCACCUUUACUAUAGCUUAACAUUGACUUUGGAUAACUAAUGUGUAGGAUAGGUGGGAGACUUUGAAGCAGUGGCGCCAGCCAUUGUGGAGUCGUCCUUGAAAUACCACCCUUUGGUUAUUUGAAUUCUAAUCCCUCAAAAGGGGAGACAUUGUUUGGUGGGUAGUUUGACUGGGGUGGCCGCCUCCAAAAUUGUAUCGGAGGCUUUCAAAGGUACCCUCAGCACGCUUGGUAACCGUGCGUAGAGUGCAACAGCAUAAGGGUGCUUGACUGUGAGACCUACAAGUCGAGCAGGGUCGAAAGACGGAUAUAGUGAUCCGGUGGUUACGUGUGGAAGGGCCAUCGCUCAAAGGAUAAAAGGUACGCCGGAUAACAGGCUGAUCACCCCCAAGAGCUCAUAUCGACGGGGUGGUUUGGCACCUCGAUGUCGGCUCGUCACAUCCUGGGGCUGGAGAAGGUCCCAAGGGUUGAGCUGUUCGCUCAUUAAAGUGGCACGCGAGCUGGGUUCAGAACGUCGUGAGACAGUUCGGUCCCUAUCUGUUGUGGGCGUUAGAAAUUUGAGAGGACCUGACUCUAGUACGAGAGGACCGAGUUGGACAGACCUCUAGUGUACCUGUUGUGGCGCCAGCUGCAUUGCAGGGUAGCUACGUCUGGUCGAGAUAAGCGCUGAAAGCAUCUAAGCGCGAAACUCGCCUCAAGAUAAGAUUUCUUUUAAGGGUCGUAAUAGACUAUUACGUUGAUAGGUUGCAAGUGUAAAGGCAGUAAUGUCAAAGCUGAGCAAUACUAAUUACCCU
Molecule: ribosomal RNA, 1271 nt
Filed under: metagenome
Description: bacterial LSU rRNA
Rfam family: Bacterial large subunit ribosomal RNA
Source: RNAcentral